RNAcentral lists this ribosomal RNA (540 nucleotides) under uncultured Geobacteraceae bacterium. RNAcentral's name for it is "bacterial SSU rRNA". It matches the Rfam family "Bacterial small subunit ribosomal RNA", at positions 9 to 526 of the family's 1533-position model. Lineage: Bacteria; Pseudomonadati; Thermodesulfobacteriota; Desulfuromonadia; Geobacterales; Geobacteraceae. The record is from RNAcentral.
GAGUUUGAUCCUGGCUCAGAACGAACGCUGGCGGCGUGCCUAACACAUGCAAGUCGAACGUGAUCCAGAGCUUGCUCUGGUGAAAGUGGCGCACGGGUGAGUAACGCGUGGAUAACCUACCCUGGUAUCCGGGAUAACAUUCCGAAAGGGGUGCUAAUACCGGAUAAGCCCACGGGCUCUUUGGAGCUUGCGGGAAAAGGUGGCCUCUAUUUAUAAGCUACUGUAUCAGGAUGGGUCCGCGUACCAUUAGCUAGUUGGCGGUGUAACGGACCACCAAGGCGACGAUGGUUAGCUGGUCUGAGAGGAUGAUCAGCCACACUGGAACUGAGACACGGUCCAGACUCCUACCGGAGGCAGCAGUGGGGAAUUUUGCGCAAUGGGGGAAACCCUGACGCAGCAACGCCGCGUGAGUGAUGAAGGCCUUUGGGUCGUAAAGCUCUGUCAGAGGGGAAGAAAUGAUAUAGUGCUAAUACCACUUUAUCUUGACGGUACCCUCAAAGGAAGCACCGGCUAACUCCGUGCCAGCAGCCGCGGUAAUAC